UCUUGGGUCUAGGACUAGUGGUUAGGCCACAGCGCUCUCACCACUGCGGCCCGGCUUCGAAUCCUGGCCAGUGAA
This is a non-coding RNA of Pangasius djambal, 75 nucleotides long. The record is from the annotation of a GenBank genome assembly. Lineage: Eukaryota; Metazoa; Chordata; Actinopteri; Siluriformes; Pangasiidae.